CCUACGGGAGGCAGCAGUGGGGAAUCUUGCGCAAUGGGCGAAAGCCUGACGCAGCAACGCCGCGUGCGGGAAGAAGGCUUUCGGGCUGUAAACCGCUUUCAGCAGGAACGAAAAUGACGGUACCUGCAGAAGAAGGAGCGGCCAACUAUGUGCCAGCAGCCGCGGUGAUACAUAGGCUUCAAGCGUUGUCCGGAUUUAUUGGGCGUAAAGAGUUCGUAGGCGGUCGAGUAAGUCGGGUGUGAAAAUUCUGGGCUCAACCCAGAGACGCCACCCGAUACUGCUUGACUUGAGUUCGAUAGGGGAGUGGGGAAUUCCUAGUGUAGCGGUGAAAUGCGCAGAUAUUAGGAGGAACACCGGUGGCGAAGGCGCCACUCUGGAUCGAUACUGACGCUGAGGAACGAAAGCAUGGGUAGCAAACAGGAUUAGAUACCCUGGUAGUCCAUGCCGUAAACGGUGGGCACUAGGUGUGGGUUUCUAUUAACGAAAUCCGCGCCGUCGCUAACGCAUUAAGUGCCCCGCCUGGGGAGUACGGUCGCAAGACUAAAACUCAAAGAUAAGUGCGUUGNGAGNGCGACGAGCGACGAGGAGGAG
This 591-nucleotide ribosomal RNA is filed under the name uncultured bacterium. RNAcentral describes it as "bacterial SSU rRNA". It matches the Rfam family "Bacterial small subunit ribosomal RNA", at positions 338 to 942 of the family's 1533-position model. The record is from RNAcentral.